GGGCGCGUAGCUCCAAUUGGUAGAGCAAUCGCCUCCAAAGCGAUUUGUUGGGGGUUCGAGUCCCUCCGCGCCUG
RNAcentral lists this transfer RNA (74 nucleotides) under Patescibacteria group bacterium. Its description in RNAcentral is "tRNA-Trp". It matches the Rfam family "tRNA". Rfam says of the family: Transfer RNA (tRNA) molecules are approximately 80 nucleotides in length. Their secondary structure includes four short double-helical elements and three loops (D, anti-codon, and T loops). The record is from RNAcentral.